Non-coding RNA from Vicia faba (fava bean), 195 nucleotides. Lineage: Eukaryota; Viridiplantae; Streptophyta; Magnoliopsida; Fabales; Fabaceae. The record is from the annotation of a GenBank genome assembly.
AUGGAUUCCAACAAGGCAAGCUACGAUGCUGGACAGGCCAAGGGCCAAACUCAGGAAAAGGCUAGCAACAUGAUGGACAAAGCUAGUAAUACUGCUCAAUCUGCUAAGGAAUCAAUGCAAGAGACUGGUCAGCAAAUGCAGGCAAAGGCACAUGGAGCUGUUGAUGCUGCCAAGGAUGCAAUGCACAGCAAAUAA